RNAcentral lists this non-coding RNA (69 nucleotides) under Ruminococcus sp. Lineage: Bacteria; Bacillati; Bacillota; Clostridia; Eubacteriales; Oscillospiraceae. The record is from RNAcentral.
AGCCGAAACAGCGGACAAGUUCUGCUGUCUGCCGUGAAUGGUCGCACGGUACUGAUGAGGCAGACCAAA